Molecule: ribosomal RNA, 426 nt
Filed under: uncultured bacterium
Lineage: Bacteria
Description: bacterial SSU rRNA
Rfam family: Bacterial small subunit ribosomal RNA
Source: RNAcentral
UGGGGAAUUUUGGACAAUGGGCGCAAGCCUGAUCCAGCCAUUCCGCGUGCAGGACGAAGGCCUUCGGGUUGUAAACUGCUUUUGUACGGAACGAAAAGCCCUUCUCUAAUACAGAGGGGUCAUGACGGUACCGUAAGAAUAAGCACCGGCAAACUACGUGCCAGCAACCGCGGUAAUACGUAGGGUGCAAGCGUUAAUCGGAAUUACUGGCCGUAAAGCGUGCGCAGCGGUUUGCUAAGACAGAGGUGAAAUCCCCGGGCUCAACCUGGGAACUGCCUUUGUGACUACAAUGAUUGAGUGCGGCAGUGGGGGAUGGAAGUCCGCGUGUAGCUGUGAAAUGCGUAGAUAUGCGGGGGAACACCGAUGGCGAAGGCAAUCCCCUGGGCCUGCACUGACGCUCAUGCACGAAAGCGUGGGGAGCAAACA